RNAcentral lists this ribosomal RNA (253 nucleotides) under uncultured prokaryote. RNAcentral describes it as "partial 16S ribosomal RNA". It matches the Rfam family "Bacterial small subunit ribosomal RNA", at positions 524 to 776 of the family's 1533-position model. The record is from RNAcentral.
UACAGAGGGUGCGAGCGUUGUCCGGAAUCACUGGGCGUAAAGGGCGCGUAGGUGGCCCGGUAAGUAGGGGGUGAAAUCUCGAGGCUCAACUUCGAGGCUGCCUCCUAAACUGCCAGGCUUGAGCAGAGUAGAGGCAGGUGGAAUUCCCGGUGUAGCGGUGGAAUGCGUAGAGAUCGGGAAGAACAUCGGUGGCGAAGGCGAGUCUCUGGGAUGAUGCUGACGCUGAGGCGCGAAAGCCAGGGGAGCAAACGGG